Molecule: long non-coding RNA, 266 nt
Filed under: Carica papaya (papaya)
Lineage: Eukaryota; Viridiplantae; Streptophyta; Magnoliopsida; Brassicales; Caricaceae
Description: long non-coding RNA (CPAP_LNC008109)
Source: RNAcentral
CGAACUAGUAAACUAGAUGAUUUACCUCCUCAGUGCGAUACUAAUUAUUACUAGGUGUCAAAACCACUAAAACUAUUACAAAUUUGAGCACUAUGACUAGCUAUUUGUGGUUUCUCUUCUCGUAUGAUGGGCCCUGUCCAAAUGGAUUCAAAACAACAAAUAUAUAUAGGUGUAGGAUGUAAAUAAAUACUAGAUAUGAAAUGAAACUCAAAUUAAUUCGAGUAGAUCUCACCAAUACAUUGCUGAAGUUUGCUAGAUCUAUCAAC